UUUAAAAAUAACUUUUUGAAGUUUUACAAAUUUGAAAAUUUAAUUUCAAGUGAAGUUUGAAAUUUUCAUUGCUAAACACCGUUUCUGAAGAAAAAAAAAGUAAAAUAAAAUUUAUGGCCAAACGAAAAGGAAAACUACUGAGGGUAUAUAUGUCUUUUUGUACUAGACAAUGUUAGGUUUUUCUGGUUCUUAUCUGCACCACAGAUUCUUUAACACAUAUUAAUAGAGACUAGUCAUCAGUUCUACAAAAGUGAAUAAGCUCAAAAUCCAAUCCACCUGCCUAAUUUUACUCUGUCCAUUUCCAAUAUUUCUUUCUUCUUCUUCUUCUUCUUCUUCUUCUUCUUCUUUUCUUCUUCUUCCUAUUUUAUAGUUAUGAGAGUUCACUGCUCUGCUUUUCCAUUUCUGCUAAUUAUUGUGAUGCUAUAUGUUAGUCAAUUAUCAAGCUGUAGAAAAAUCCAAGAAAUCACCCCAACAAGCACAGAGCAAAGAUUCAACACAAAGUUAGAUUCAAGAUUUUAUUGGCAUAUCUCUGCACCAGCUCCUAAAACAUCAAGAAAAGAAAUUAUUGAUCAAAGCUAUAGAGUUUCACAUCGAACCGUUCCCGGGGGACCAAACCCUCUUCACAAUUAAUUUUUGUUAUAACAGUAUUUUCUAGUCAUCUUGUCUGCACCUCGACUGAGCACAUGUAUCCGGUAAGUCUGGAAAGCAAUCGCCUAAUAUUUUUUUGUAUUUGUUGGGAUUUUAGCACUGGUCUUUCUAUAAUGUUCAUACACUUUCAUUGAUCGCUAGACCCGAUGCCGCUAUGCACAAUUAAUGUUACCUUCUUUCAUUCAUCUUUAUAUGUCUCCAAAUUCCAAAGGUUUUGUAGCUAGCUAGUAGCUAGUUUGAUAUACGUUUGUUCUUCUAGCUUUUCUUUUUAUCUUUAUAUAUUGUACAUGGAAAUCACAGAUGUAUACUAGGAAAAUUUACUAUAUAAGUAAUACAUUAGUACUACAAUUGAUUGUAUUACUACAGUUUUUUCUUUCUUUCUUUCUUUGUCCUGUUCUUUAAAGUUUUGAUAUAUGCAUACGAAAUGUACAAGAUUCUUAUUUUCUUCUUUUCUCUUGGUUGAGUAAACUCUGCCUGAGUUGCUGGUUUCCUACAUGUGAAGUUGAAGAGCUAUAUCAUUACUUAUAUUAAAUUCGAAAUUUUUAUAAUGCAAACAAAUAAGUAGAAGAUAAUAAUAUAAGGACAGAGAUAAGGAGGAAGUGAGAAUACAUGACAAAAACCAGUUUUUGAAUAGAGGUACCAACCAAUCAUAUUG
Molecule: long non-coding RNA, 1303 nt
Filed under: Nicotiana tabacum (common tobacco)
Lineage: Eukaryota; Viridiplantae; Streptophyta; Magnoliopsida; Solanales; Solanaceae
Description: long non-coding RNA (NTAB_LNC003402)
Source: RNAcentral